This 244-nucleotide unclassified non-coding RNA is filed under the name plant metagenome. RNAcentral describes it as "partial contains small subunit ribosomal RNA and internal transcribed spacer 1". The record is from RNAcentral.
AGAGUCGUAACCAAGGUUUCCGUAGGGUGAACCUGCGGAAGGAUCAUUUGAAAUGUGAUUGGUUAUACAUUUCAUGUAUCAACUGGCAUUAACCCAUUCCGAGUACCUUGCCUGUUGCUUCCAUGGGGCCUACCCUAGGGUCACUCUUGUGAUGUGAAACCCAAGAGAGUCCCCAUGGGAGGUAAUCAUUAAAUUCAUGUAUCCAAUGUCUUCUGUCUGAACUGUUUAUAACAAAUGUUAAAAU